AGAACGAACGCUGGCGGCAGGCCUAACACAUGCAAGUCGAACGCGCGUAGCAAUACGCGAGUGGCGCACGGGUGAGUAACACGUGGGAACCAACCCUGAGGUUCGGAAUAACCGCGGGAAACUGCGGCUAAUACCGGAUAUCCCCUACGGGGGAAAGAUUUAUCGCCUUGGGACGGGCCCGCGUCCGAUUAGCUAGUUGGUGAGGUAAUGGCUCACCAAGGCUCCGAUCGGUAGCUGGUCUGAGAGGACGACCAGCCACACUGGAACUGAGAUACGGUCCAGACUCCUACGGGAGGCAGCAGUGGGGAAUAUUGGGCAAUGGAGGCAACUCUGACCCCAGCCCAAUGCCGCGUGGGUGACGAAGGUCUUCGGAUUGUAAAGCCCUUUCGGCGGGACGAUGAUGACGGUACCGCGAGAAGAGCCCGCUACUCGUGCCAGCAGCCGC
RNAcentral lists this ribosomal RNA (445 nucleotides) under uncultured soil bacterium. Its description in RNAcentral is "bacterial SSU rRNA". It matches the Rfam family "Bacterial small subunit ribosomal RNA", at positions 26 to 518 of the family's 1533-position model. The record is from RNAcentral.